RNAcentral lists this unclassified non-coding RNA (327 nucleotides) under soil metagenome. RNAcentral's name for it is "partial contains 5.8S ribosomal RNA, internal transcribed spacer 2, and large subunit ribosomal RNA". The stretch from base 1 to 120 matches the Rfam family "5.8S ribosomal RNA", at positions 35 to 154 of the family's 154-position model. The record is from RNAcentral.
GAUGAAGAACGUAGCGAAAUGCGAUAAGUAAUGUGAAUUGCAGAAUUCAGUGAAUCAUCGAAUCUUUGAACGCACAUUGCGCCCCUUGGUAUUCCGGGGGGCAUGCCUGUUCGAGCGUCAUUAUAACCCCUCAAGCUCAGCUUGGUGUUGGGGCCUGCCAACUGGCAGCCCUUAAAAUCAGUGGCGGCGCCAUCUGGCUCUAAGCGUAGUAAUUUCUCUCGCUAUAGGGUCCCGGUGGAUGCUUGCCAACAACCCCCAAUUUUCUAUGGUUGACCUCGAAUCAGGUAGGGAUACCCGCUGAACUUAAGCAUAUCAAUAAGCGGAGGA